Molecule: long non-coding RNA, 2001 nt
Filed under: Dasypus novemcinctus (nine-banded armadillo)
Lineage: Eukaryota; Metazoa; Chordata; Mammalia; Cingulata; Dasypodidae
Description: lncRNA (ENSDNOG00000051091.1)
Source: RNAcentral
AUGCAGUUCUACGACUAUCCUAUAGCUUUUACAUCUAAUUCCAGACCUGUUAUGUCUAAACCGGAGCUUGCCACACUAAACAAUGACAGGUGCAAUAUACCGCAGCUGCGCCUAAAAAUUUGCAUUCGCCUUCCUACCCGCCUUAAAAGAGUAAAAACCACAAGCAUAAGUAAAGUGAGACUUGCUAUUGUUAAAUCGACUCUUGCCAAGCUUAAGAAAUCGCUUUGCCUGCGUGUUCCGACUUCUAAAGGAGUUAAAAUCACAAGCAUAACCGAAGUGGAGGUAAGAAAAAGAAACGGAUAUAUGCUAGGAUUUAGAAUUCGCAGGCAUGCUAAACUGCCUUUGUUCUGCUUAAAUCGGGACCUGUUGAAGACAAAUCAUAUUCAGGGCUCUAAUCCCACUUUUCCAGGUUCAGAAUUCACAGUACAAGCUGAUGGGGAUAUGCAGUGCUCAAACCCACGAAUUUGGAAGAUGAAGCAAUUGCACUUAAGGCUAAAACCAGAUGUGCUAUGAUUAAGCAAUAAGAAAGAGUCCUACAUUGGAUGCUAAUCUGAGGGAUCCAUAGGAGAGGGAGCUGGCAGGACCAAUGAUCCCUGAAGAUCCGGCCACGGCUUCUCCAGUAGUAAGAAAUUGUAAUCCGCGGUGUCCCAGGCAAUGCAGCGGAAGAUCACAGUGGAAGUUAGAGACCGAUAAACCCCGCAGUCCUAUGACUCCGAUUUCAAUUUAUGAGUGUGAAAUAUCUCAAAACACUGACCUUACAAAACAAAGAUAUCUCGUAAAUAAAUAUAAAAUCUACUUCAUAUUAUACCUUAUAAAUGCUCAGGGAUACCUGACAAACUCCAUAAACGAAGCUAGCAUAAAUAUAUACAUGAAUUAUAAAAACCAUAUAAUGUAAUGAGAAGGCAUAGCAAUAAUAGUUAAAAUAAUUGGAAGAUGGUUAAGAACUACUCUCUUAAAAAUAAAGACGUACUAUGUAUAAUGAGAUCCCGGAUUCAAUCAAUGAAACCUCUCUUUUAAAAAAAGGACCUUCUAUAAAAGAAAUAUAAAAUGUAUGAAACAUAACACCUUAUAAAUAUUUAGGGAUGCGAUAUAAAUUGAAUAAAGAAACUUGUAUCCAUAUCUGAAAUUAAAUACAUAGCACAAUGUGUAUGUAAACAUAUAAUAUGAAAAUACAACUUGAACAAAAUUAAGAAAUAAUAUUUCUGAAACCAAGAAAUAAAUCAUAAAACAAAUCCGACAAAAUCCUUAGAGUAAUUGCAUUUCUCAUAAAUGAAAUAAAUAACGAUAUUAACCUGAGCCCUGGACGACGCAAACCAUAUAUCAUAAAGCUGAGUGGUGAUCUAAAAAAGAAUCUCGGUAUAAAACAAAUAACAAAAUUUCCACAAAAUACUUGCAAGCAGUAAAAUAUAAAUACAAUUUGAAGUGCUAAUAGAACCAUAGCAAAACAUACUGUACCCAGCCAUCUUAGCACACCGGACGGAAACAACAUUCAAAAAUAAACAAAUCAAACCGAGAAUUAAAGGUACUAGGGGGAAAAAACCUGUUCUAAUCCGUGCAGUCCUACGAUUGUCUGAAGGUUUUAUCCAAUCACACCCUCGUUAUGUCUAAACCGGAGGUCGCUACACUAAGAAAAUGCGGGAACCAGUAUACCACAGUUGCAGGCCUAAAAAUUUGCAUUCGCUUCCUACCCUACUUACAGGGAGUUAGAAACCACAAACAUACCUAAAGGGAGAUUUGCUCUUGCUAAAUCAAACCUUUCCAGUCUUAAGAAAUCGUUUUCGCUGCACGCUGACUUCUGCUGGCGUUAAAAUCACAAGCACAGCUAAAGUGGAGACGUGAUGACGAAAUCAAUCUAUGCUACGACUUAGAAUUCGCGGGCUUGGCAAACCGUCCUCGUUCUGCUGAAAACGGCCGCUGGUGAAGGGAACAGCCCACACAGGGCUCUAAGCCCCCAGUCACCAGGUCCAGAGCUCACAGCGCAAGCGCAGGGGCACACGCGCG